This 247-nucleotide long non-coding RNA is filed under the name Physcomitrium patens. RNAcentral's name for it is "long non-coding RNA (PPAT_LNC014481)". Lineage: Eukaryota; Viridiplantae; Streptophyta; Bryopsida; Funariales; Funariaceae. The record is from RNAcentral.
AAUCCUCUUUCAUCCUUCCAAUUGCAUCAACUUCAAUGGGAUCUGGCUUUCUUCCGUAAGAUCCACAUAAAUGUCCAACAAUCACAACAUCUUGUACUCCAAAUACGGACUUUAUACCCAAUAAUGUAAGAUGAACUUCUCCAAGCCGAGUUAAAAUCUUUUCACAAUCUUGUAUAUGAUCAACAACAUAUUUGUGACAUCCCCUCUUAUCUAAAGUUUCAUCCUUGUCUCCUUCUCUGCACCCUUU